Caretta caretta (loggerhead turtle) is the source of this 4451-nucleotide non-coding RNA. NCBI's taxonomy places the organism in Eukaryota, Metazoa, Chordata, Testudines, Cheloniidae. The record is from RefSeq and is a predicted model, not a curated record.
GCGCACCUGGACCAAUCGCGGAAAAGAGAGUUCUGCUCGACCAAUGAAGAGAAGGCAAAGGUGGAAGAGGGCGGGCCACCGAGGACGCGGGCCACGCCCGUGCGAUGAUCCGCUAACGGCGGCCGCACUCGCUGGUCCGAGACCGCCGGGUGAGGCGACAGCCCUGGGGGAAGCGCCGUGACAAGGGCUGCGGCUGGGCCGGAGCGCCCUAACAACGUCAGCAGCGGCUCGGUACCUCCUGGGCUGAGCGGGCGAGCUCCGCCUCCUCCUGCCGUCGCUGGGCGGACUUCUCGGGCCAGGGCCUCCCGCGCCGCCCCCACCCAGCCCCUGGAACAGCCUCCCCCUGCCGCCGCGGGCGAGCCCAGCCGCCCCACCCCGGCCUGCGAGGGCAGCCUGGCGGUGGCGGGCUCCAGCGUCCGCGGCCCAGCCGCAGAGCUAGGCGGGAGCUGCGGGCUUCUGGGUCCCGUUGGGGAACCCAGCCCCCCUGUCCGGCCUCUCGGGGCCCUGCCGUUGGACACGCGCCUCCAGGGCAGGAGCGGGCUCCCCACCAAGGGAGCAGCACCUGCGCUCGCACGCUUGGCAGGUGCCUGUUCCGAGCCCUGUGGAACACGUGGCCUCUUCGUGAAUUAGAUGGGUCAGUGCUUUGUACUUUAUUCUAGCCGUAAGGUACCUUGCACCUAGAUGUCUAAGCAGUGCUCGCCUACCUACCAACUCUGCCUGUUUACGAGGGAUCAUCCCUAUUUUUUACACAGUUCUUGGUGUCCAAUGUAGUUCAAAGUCAUCCAUAUUUUUCUUUGCUUACAUCCUUAUUUAUAGCUUUCUGGUGGUGGCAGGUAUGUAUCUGUUGUGUUUAUUAUACAAACUGGCUAGAACUAUAAAUACAACCUCCUCCAUUUCUCCCCAAACAGGUCAACCUGAUCAAAAAGCCUAUUUCACUGGCAUGUUAGUUGAUAGUCUGGCAACAGAAAUUAGGAAUCUGUCACAGUUACGCCUGUUACUAUUUUGUUUUGUUUUUAUUAUUGGCAUAGUGCCAAUAGUGCUAGGUCUUUUCAAAUGUAUUUGCUUUGUUUUGACAUAAAACAAUAAAGAGCACCCACACUCAGGCUCUGAGCACCCCACCAGUUAUUUAAAAUUACAAAACCAAAUACACAGUUCAGUCAAUUCAUAAUCCAGUGCUACCACUCCUGUACAUGAACCUCUACUUCAGUCUCCUGCACACAGAAAAUCAAGGUUUUAAAACUCAGAAAUUCUAAGAUCAGAAGGAACCAUUGUGAUUAUCUAAUCUGCCCGCCUGUACUGCACAGACCAUAGAAUUUCCCCUAGUAAAUCCUGCAGCAAGUUCAGUAACUUGUGGUUGAAUUAGAAUGUAUCCUUUUUUAGAAGGACAUUCAAUCUUGAUUUGAUGCUGAUUUAUUUACCUCUGUGGAGACCACUAUAUACCUUUUCUGUUUACAAUUCCCAUGCCAACAAUAACUGGCUUCUUUGAACAUAGGUAGCUCACUUAAUAUGCUGUUAAGUUUCUUUUACACUUUACUGUCCAUGUUCAAUGUAGCUUAAUUACAUCUUUUAUUCUGGGAAAGGUCUAUGUACUGUACAGGAGGUCAGAGUAGAUGAUCACAGUGGUUCCCUUCUGACCUUAGAAUCUAUGAAUCUGCUGCUGGUACUAUGAAUAAAUUUCAUAACUUCUGUAUAUUUAAAAUCUCCACUACAAUAUUUCAUUAACUUAUUUUUCAUUUAAUAUCCUUAAUUGAUAAGGAGCCACGAGUGCACAUUUAAACUGAAAAUAUUUGAAUAUUUGAGAUACAGUUAAACCCAGAGAAUGUUUGUGCAAUUGCACAUCCAAAUACAGUAUGUAUGUACAGUACAUGGGAUCAUAUGCACAUAUACUGUAUGGUUACUUGAUUGUUUCAGUGCUUACAAAAUCAGUAGAAAAUAAGCACAUAUGGGCAUCUGAACCCAGGCACCUUGUUACAUGGUUCUGAGUGAUCUGAAAUAGUGCUGAAUACAGUUUGUCCGUGUCUGAACAUGCAGCUAAAUUGUGUUCAGCGUAUUGGUGAUGCCCAUUUUCACCAGUGGAUCAUUUUUUCCAAAUGUAGACAAAUUUUGUGUGUUCCCAGCAGCUUCAAAAUAAAGAUUUGUUUUUAACUUAGAUAAUUUUUUCACUUCCAGGUCUGAGAGAGACAGACAAGGUUUUCAUCUCAAGGCCAAAAGACAUCUGUGUCAUGUCUUCAUUGGAAGGGACUUACAUUACCCAUUGACAAUUUUUUCACGAUCUUCAACUUCUCUUGCCUUAUACAGGCCCAUGUCCUUCUAAGGAAACUGUCUGUUUCUAUUGUCCAGGCCUAGAAACUGAAAUCCUACAUGAAUGGAACAUCUACACUCUAGACAAUUACAGAACAAGUUUCUCUACCCCACCCCAAUCCACCAAUGUUUCUCACUCCUGAUCUGGAGGAUAAAGGUAAUUCUGACUCCAUGCCCUUUCAUUUCCUGUCCUCGGCUCAGAGUCCCAACAGGGUGUCAGUCGUGAUAGAUGAUGGUUUUGUGACAUGAACACCUGUCUGUUGGGAGUUGUACAGGGACCAACUCAUUUCACAGAAGCCACUGAAGAGCCAUCAGAUGGUAAUGACUUUCAGUCCCUGUUGACCUGGGCCAAUUUGAAUCGGUGAUCUAGGGGUGAAAGGCUCCAUAUUCCAUUACCAGUUUUCUGAGCCAUCAAGUCUACUCCAUUCCGCCCCUACUACUUCUGUACAGAUAUAUUUGAUAGCAUUUUUCUAAAUGCUAUCAUCCAUACGGACGUCUGCCAUCAUUUGUUGAUACGGUCAAUCAAUACUACAUUAAAUGUUACUUUUCAGUUUACCCUUAAUUGUCUAAAGUAUAUGUGGAAUUUCAUUAUUUAUAUUACUCUGCCAUUAAAUUAUGCAUUACAGAUUAAAAGAAUAAAAGGCUUGUUUACAUUAUUAUUAUUGCUCUGGCAUCAACUUUUGGAUUUCUGUGUAAAGAAAUUAAUUUCCUUUCGGAGGGGGAGAAAUGGGGAAUGACAAGCACUAGCUCCUGCUGCCUCUGGGACAUAAUUAUGCUCGCAAACACAAAACUGGAAAAAUCAUGACCUCAACACAGUUGAGACUCUUGAAAGUUUCAUCUCAGCAUGAAGCUAUGUUUUAAUUAUUAUUUUUGUCUGCAUUGUUCAGCUUGUCAGUGCACCAACUAGAAUAAGUUCUUAUCCUAGUUAAUUCUUCAUGAGGCUUAUGUCACUGGAAGAUGCUUUUAAUUUAUUUUCUCCCCUCCCCCCACAUUUAAUCCAACACUGACAAAAAGGUUAUCUGUAAACAUUAAACAAAGGGUCUUACUGCUUUAAACUCCCCUUGACUUCAAUUGACUUUGGCUAGGGGGAAGAAGUAUGCUGUGGAUGCAUGUUUGGUAGAAUUUACAAAUUAAACUUUCGGUGUUUUAAUGUAUUAAGUUUUCUGUAUGGUAGAGAAGUUUUGUUUUUACCUGAGUACUGAGUUUAGACUCUACCUCUAGUCAGUUAUUAGAGAGCUGUAUAUAUAUUUACUGAUUUUCCCCCUAAGAUUUAAUGAUGUCAAAAUCUCUGAAGUAUUAUGUGAUACUUUUCCUCCAAUGCAAUCUUUGGAAUUCUAAGGCUCUUUCUACAAGAACUUAUAUAAUUAUUACACCGAAAUGAUAUCAUGGUGUAUGAUGUAUGACAGGAUUAUACCUGCUGCAUGUACAGUAAAAGCUUUGUUAUCCAGCUUGUUGGGGGAAUGGGAGGUGCCGGUUAGUCAAAAAUUCUGGUUAACUAAGAGUUAUACUUACUAAUGGAACGAUGGAGUUUGGGUACAGGAGGGGGCUCAGGACUGGGGUGCAGGAAUGCAGGCUCUGGGAGGGAGUUUGGGUGCAGGAGGGGGUUGGGGGGCAGGAGGAGUUUCAGGGUGCCUGAUCCCAGCAGCACUCACCUCAGGUGGCUCCCCAUAAGCAGUGACCUGUCCCCUGCUGCUCCUAGGUGGAAGCGUGGUCAGGUGACUCUCUGUGCUGCCUCUGCCUGCAGGCGCUGCCCCUGCAGCUCCCAUUGGUAGCGGUUCCCAGCCAAUGGGAGCUGCAGAGCCAGCAGGCAGGGCGGGGGCAGUGCACAGAGCUCCAGUGGCCAUUCCUCCACCUAGGACCAGCAGGGAUAUGUUGCUGCUUCCAGGGAGCCACACAGAGCAAGAUAGGGAGCCUGCUGGCCUCAGGCCAACUGGACUUCUAAUGGAUAUCAGAAAUGCUUGUUUCUAGAGCUUUCCGGUUGGUAAAAUGCCAGAUAACACAGCUUUUACUGUACUUAGAUAAUGCCUUGAUGUAUAACAUAUUUGGAAAAACUGAAAUUAUUUUCCAUGUGGUAACUUGUGUUAAUAUUUCAAAAGCAAUUAAAUAUAAGAGAAAAAAAUAAAACUUACAAGACUUGUCAUUUAAUAUGA